AUAUGUUAGUUGAUAAGAACAGGUCAAGAUCACGAAAUAGUCUCUGAAUAGUUGAAGAAACUGUGACCACUAAAUGACACGAAACUAAUACUAUGGAUAUUUGCCUGAUUUUUUUUCAAAAAUUGCAAAGAUUCGCUUUCUGUUGGAUUAAAACAAUGAAGAGCAGUCUAGUGGAGUUUUGCUUGUUUCUUGUGCUAGUGAGAUUAACUAAAGGAAACAUCAAGGCCUUAUGUGGCACAUCAGACAGUUACUGGGAAGUGAGAGAGGGUAAACAGGACAACACAUUCACCUGCACGGGCUGUCUGCACAAGACACAGUGUCGUGGCUCUUACGAGGGAUCACUCAGUGGACACUAACGUUGGCUCAUGUCCGCCUCGUCCAUCAAAUGGAAGUGAACCUGUCUGUGAGAUGUUUUAUUUUCCUGUUUUCAAGCCAAGCAGAAUUUCCAAUGAAGCGGGUAUAAUGGUUGUUAAUACAACGGUAAAUUCAUUAACGACAUGGUUUGAGAAAGGACAACUGGUCUGCUCUGUUUUGGGGUCAGCUGAUGCUCCUUCUGGUUGUCGCUUGGACUACAUAUAUUUGGCUGAAAAUAUAUCAUGCACUGUUCAGUUCAGAAACGACUCCUGGACUGUGUUCGGUCACUGCGACAUUAAAAACUCCCGUUCGUCACAAAAGAGAUACAGGUGCGAGUGGAUAGAGAGAAAAGAGUCACCAAAAGAAGAGAUCAUCAUCGCCAACACAUCGAUGCUAGUUAUGCCUCCUAAUGGGACAUACAUUAACGGAACUUGUAACUUCAGCAGUUACUUGCCCUCUGAUGGUCGCUACACUUACAGUGUGACUAUUGUUCCCGGCGAGGUGACUGUCAAUGCAAGUUUCAUCGAAAGUAAUGAA
Molecule: long non-coding RNA, 891 nt
Organism: Pomacea canaliculata
Lineage: Eukaryota; Metazoa; Mollusca; Gastropoda; Architaenioglossa; Ampullariidae
Exons: 4
Source: RefSeq, a predicted model, not a curated record